GAUGAACGCUGGCGGCGUGCCUAAUACAUGCAAGUCGAGCGAACAGACGAGGAGCUUGCUCCUCUGACGUUAGCGGCGGACGGGUGAGUAACACGUGGAUAACCUACCUAUAAGACUGGGAUAACUUCGGGAAACCGGAGCUAAUACCGGAUAAUAUAUUGAACCGCAUGGUUCAAUAGUGAAAGACGGUUUUGCUGUCACUUAUAGAUGGAUCCGCGCCGCAUUAGCUAGUUGGUAAGGUAACGGCUUACCAAGGCAACGAUGCGUAGCCGACCUGAGAGGGGGAACGGCCACACUGGAACUGAGACACGGUCCAGACUCCUACGGGAGGCAGCAGUAGGGAAUCUUCCGGAAUGGGCGAAAGCCUGACGGAGCAACGCCGCGUGAGUGAUGAAGGUCUUCGGAUCCUAAAACUCUGUUAUUAGGGAAGAAAAAAUGUGUAAGUAACUAUGCACGUCUUGACGGUACCUAAUCAGAAAGCCACGGCUAACUACGUG
Molecule: ribosomal RNA, 497 nt
Filed under: uncultured bacterium
Lineage: Bacteria
Description: partial 16S ribosomal RNA
Rfam family: Bacterial small subunit ribosomal RNA
Source: RNAcentral